UACGUAGGGUCCGAGCGUUGUCCGGAAUUAUUGGGCGUAAAGGGCUCGUAGGCGGUCUGUUGCGUCGGGAGUGAAAACUUACAGCUUAACUGUGAGCGUGCUUCCGAUACGGGCAGACUUGAGGUAUUCAGGGGAGAACGGAAUUCCUGGUGUAGCGGUGAAAUGCGCAGAUAUCAGGAGGAACACCGAUGGCGAAGGCAGCCCCCUGGGCCAACACUGACGCUCAGGCACGAAAGCGUGGGGAGCAAACAGG
Molecule: ribosomal RNA, 253 nt
Filed under: uncultured bacterium
Lineage: Bacteria
Description: partial 16S ribosomal RNA
Rfam family: Bacterial small subunit ribosomal RNA
Source: RNAcentral